AGAGUUUGAUCCUGGCUCAGGAUGAACGCUAGCGGCAGGCUUAACACAUGCAAGUCGAGGGGCAUCGCGGGUAGCAAUACCUGGCGGCGACCGGCGGAAGGGUGAGUAACGCGUGAGCAACAUGCCCUGUGGAGGGGGAUAGUCACUGGAAACGGUGCGUAAUACCCCGUAACAACAGGAGAGGCAUCUCUCCAGUUUAAAAGAUUCAUUGUCACAGGAUUGGCUCGCGUCUGAUUAGGUAGUUGGCGGGGUAACGGCCCACCAAGCCGACGAUCAGUAGGGGUUCUGAGAGGAAGGUCCCCCACAUUGGAACUGAGACACGGUCCAGACUCCUACGGGAGGCAGCAGUGAGGAAUAUUGGACAAUGGCCGUAAGGCUGAUCCAGCCAUGCCGCGUGAUGGAAUAAGGCCCUAUGGGUCGUAAACAUCUUUUGACGGGGAGCAAUAAGGGUUACGUGUAAUCCGAUGAGAGUACCUGUCGAAUAAGGCAUCGGCUAACUCCGGUGCCAGGCAGCCGCGGUAAUACGGGAGGGAUGCAAGCGUUAUCCGGAUUUAUUGGGUUUAAAGGGUGCGUAGGCGGGUGAAUAAGCGUGAGGUGAAAUGCCCUGGCUCAACCAGGGAACUGCCUCGCGAACUGUUCGUCUUGAAUGCUCCUGCCGUGGGAGGAAUGGGUAGUGUAGCGGUGAAAUGCAUAGAUAUUACCCAGAACACCGAUUGCGAAGGCAUCUCACGAAGGGGCAAUUGACGCUGAGGCACGAAAGCGUGGGGAUCGAACAGGAUUAGAUACCCUGGUAGUCCACGCAGUAAACGAUGAUGACUAACCGCCGGCGAUACAUUGAUCGGUGGCCAAGCGAAAGCGAUAAGUCAUCCACCUGGGGAGUACGACCGCAAGGUUGAAACUCAAAGGAAUUGACGGGGGCCCGCACAAGCGGAGGAACAUGUGGUUUAAUUCGAUGAUACGCGAGGAACCUUACCCGGGCUCGAACGGCAGAUGAAGAGAUCCAGAGAUGGUGACGCCCUUCGGGGCAUCUGUCGAGGUGCUGCAUGGUUGUCGUCAGCUCGUGCCGUGAGGUGUCGGCUCAAGUGCCAUAACGAGCGCAACCCUUGCCGUCAGUUACCAUCGCGUUAAGGCGGGGACUCUGGCGGGACUGCCACCGCAAGGUGAGAGGAAGGGGGGGAUGACGUCAAAUCAGCACGGCCCUUACGUCCGGGGCGACACACGUGUUACAAUGGCGGCCACAGAGGGGACCGACCUGGCGACAGGGAGGUAAUCCGAAAAAAGCCGCCUCAGUUCGGAUCGGAGUCUGCAACCCGACUCCGUGAAGCUGGAUUCGCUAGUAAUCGCGCAUCAGCCAUGGCGCGGUGAAUACGUUCCCGGGCCUUGCACACACCGCCCGUCA
Molecule: ribosomal RNA, 1399 nt
Filed under: uncultured bacterium
Lineage: Bacteria
Description: 16S ribosomal RNA
Rfam family: Bacterial small subunit ribosomal RNA
Source: RNAcentral